RNAcentral lists this microRNA (21 nucleotides) under Euprymna scolopes. RNAcentral's name for it is "Esc-Novel-69_3p (mature (co-guide))". The record is from RNAcentral. Lineage: Eukaryota; Metazoa; Mollusca; Cephalopoda; Sepiida; Sepiolidae.
AUCGGACCACGUCGAGAGCAA